AGCGAACGCUGGCGGCGUGCCUAACACAUGCAAGUCGAACGUGAAAAGGGAAACCUGAGUAAAGUGGCGUACGGGUGAGUAACGCGUAGGUAAUCUACCCCAGAAUCUGGAAUAACCUGCCGAAAGGCGGGCUAAUACUGGAUAGAGCGAGGGAACUCGUAAGAGAGUUUUUCGGGAAAGGGAGCCCGCAAGGGCCUUCGUUCUGGGAUGAGCCUGCGUCUCAUUAGCUAGUUGGUAAGGUAACGGCUUAUCAAGGCGAUGAUGAGUAGCUGGUCUGAGAGGAUGGUCAGCCACACUGGAACUGAAACACGGUCCAGACUCCUACGGGAGGCAGCAGUGGGGAAUCUUGCGCAAUGGACGGAAGUCUGACGCAGCCACGCCGCGUGAGUGAAGGAGGCCUUCGGGUUGUAAAGCUCUGUCGGAUGGGACGAACAUCUUCAUAGUGAAUAGCUCUGAGGACUGACGGUACCAUCAAAGAAAGCACCGGCUAACUCCGUG
This 498-nucleotide ribosomal RNA is filed under the name uncultured bacterium. Its description in RNAcentral is "partial 16S ribosomal RNA". It matches the Rfam family "Bacterial small subunit ribosomal RNA", at positions 29 to 507 of the family's 1533-position model. The record is from RNAcentral.